RNAcentral lists this ribosomal RNA (431 nucleotides) under uncultured bacterium. RNAcentral describes it as "partial 16S ribosomal RNA". It matches the Rfam family "Bacterial small subunit ribosomal RNA", at positions 355 to 779 of the family's 1533-position model. The record is from RNAcentral.
UAGGGAAUCUUCCACAAUGGACGCAAGUCUGAUGGAGCAACGCCGCGUGAGUGAAGAAGGUCUUCGGAUCGUAAAGCUCUGUUGUUGGUGAAGAAGGAUAGAGGCAGUAACUGGUCUUUAUUUGACGGUAAUCAACCAGAAAGUCACGGCUAACUACGUGCCAGCAGCCGCGGUAAUACGUAGGUGGCAAGCGUUGUCCGGAUUUAUUGGGCGUAAAGCGAGCGCAGGCGGAAUGAUAAGUCUGAUGUGAAAGCCCACGGCUCACCGUGGAACUGCAUCGGAAACUGUCAUUCUUGAGUGCAGAAGAGGAGAGUGGAACUCCAUGUGUAGCGGUGGAAUGCGUAGAUAUAUGGAAGAACACCAGUGGCGAAGGCGGCUCUCUGGUCUGCAACUGACGCUGAGGCUCGAAAGCAUGGGUAGCGAACAGGAUU